Molecule: long non-coding RNA, 300 nt
Filed under: Carica papaya (papaya)
Lineage: Eukaryota; Viridiplantae; Streptophyta; Magnoliopsida; Brassicales; Caricaceae
Description: long non-coding RNA (CPAP_LNC004359)
Source: RNAcentral
GCUGAAUCCGUCUAUGGCCAAUUCGGAGCCAAACCACCUACCAAUCGGCUGGAAAACACCGCCGAAGUCCAGCGACGCCGCCGCGGCUUACCUUGAUUCUUGCCUCCAAUGAGGCCCUUUCCGAUUCCUGUUCGAUGCAAUUUUUACACCACUGUGAUCACCGUCCUUUUCUCUACAGGUUUACCGCAGCAAAACAUCAAACUGCAACUCGCACCGGAGAAGCCGCUACACCCGAGAGCUCCGCCACCGGUAAGUCUCGGUUUUUCGUGAUUUUUUGGCCCACUGAGGGCCCUAGAGUUG